CCGACUGCUAUUUGGGUGAGAAUAAGCCAUGCGAGUUGAAUGGGAUACCUAAAGAUCCCAUAGCAAACUGCUCAGUAACACAUGAUCAACUUACCCUAUAGAGAAAAAUAACCUCGGGAAACUGAGGAUAAUGUUUCAUAAUUGAAUUGGCUUGGAAAAGUUUUUCAAUGAAAAGGAUAAAAAAAAUGGUUUUUAUCUGCUAUAGGAUAGGAUCGUGUUCGAUUAUGGUUGUUGGUGAGAUAAUGGCUCACCAAGCCGAUAAUCGAUAGGGGCCGUGAGAGCGGGAGCCCCGAGAUGGGUACUGAGACAACGACCCAGGCCUUACGAGGCGCAGCAGGCGCGGAACCUCCGCAAUACACGAAAGUGUGACGGGGUUACCCAAAGUGUUCAAUAGAACUGUGGUAGGUGAGUAAUGUUCCCUACUAGAAAGGAGAGGGCAAGGCUGGUGCCAGCCGCCGCGGUAAAACCAGCUCUUCAAGUGGUCGGGAUAAUUAUUGGGCUUAAAGUGUCCGUAGCCGGUUUAGUUAGUUCCUGGUAAAAUCGGGUAGCUUAACUAUCUGCAUGCUAGGAAUACUGCUAUACUAGAGGGCGGGAGAGGUCUGAGGUACUACAGGGGUAGGGGUGAAAUCUUAUAAUCCUUGUAGGACCACCAGUGGCGAAGGCGUCAGACUGGAACGCGUCUGACGGUGAGGGACGAAAGCCAGGGGAGCGAACCGGAUUAGAUACCCGGGUAGUCCUGGCCGUAAACGAUGCAUACUAGGUGAUGGUACGGCCAUGAGCCGUAUCAGUGCCGUAGGGAAACCGUUAAGUGUGCCGCCUGGGAAGUACGGUCGCAAGGCUAAAACUUAAAGGAAUU
RNAcentral lists this ribosomal RNA (856 nucleotides) under uncultured archaeon. RNAcentral describes it as "bacterial SSU rRNA". It matches the Rfam family "Archaeal small subunit ribosomal RNA", at positions 23 to 866 of the family's 1478-position model. The record is from RNAcentral.